AUUGAACGCUGGCAGCAUGCUUUACACAUGCAAGUCGAACGGUAACAGGUUAAGCUGACGAGUGGCGAACGGGUGAGUAAUGCAUCGGAACGUGCCCGAUCGUGGGGGAUAACGCAGCGAAAGCUGCGCUAAUACCGCAUACGAUCUGAGGAUGAAGGCGGGGGACCGUAAGGCCUCGCGCGAUCGGAGCGGCCGAUGUCAGAUUAGGUAGUUGGUGGGGUAAAGGCCCACCAAGCCGACGAUCUGUAGCUGGUCUGAGAGGACGACCAGCCACACUGGGACUGAGACACGGCCCAGACUCCUACGGGAGGCAGCAGUGGGGAAUUUUGGACAAUGGGCGAAAGCCUGAUCCAGCAAUGCCGCGUGCAGGAAGAAGGCCUUCGGGUUGUAAACUGCUUUUGUACGGAGCGAAAAGGUCCUUUCUAAUACAAGGGGCUCAUGACGGUACCGUAAGAAUAAGCACCGGCUAACUACGUGCCAGCCGCCGCGGUGA
Molecule: ribosomal RNA, 493 nt
Filed under: uncultured bacterium
Lineage: Bacteria
Description: partial 16S ribosomal RNA
Rfam family: Bacterial small subunit ribosomal RNA
Source: RNAcentral